AGCACUUGUGUGUAUUUUUGUUUAACUUGUGGACAAAGAUUUAUAGACAGGGGAAAAAACUAAAUCCUCUUUUGCAACCCAGAACUCAUGAAACAUAUAUGCCUCUCAAUAAAUGUGAAUGUAUAUA
Molecule: small nucleolar RNA, 127 nt
Filed under: Castor canadensis (American beaver)
Lineage: Eukaryota; Metazoa; Chordata; Mammalia; Rodentia; Castoridae
Description: Small nucleolar RNA SNORA40 (ENSCCNG00000011964.1)
Rfam family: Small nucleolar RNA SNORA40
About the family: The snoRNA ACA 40 belongs to the H/ACA family of snoRNAs and guides the pseudouridylation of 28S rRNA subunit at position U4565. NB This family has a high threshold value to exclude a large number of closely related sequences that do not appear to have conserved H and ACA boxes, and may be pseudogenes.
Source: RNAcentral